GNGUGAGCGGAACGAAAACAACAACACCUAAAAUGUGGAAUAUAGCAUAUAGUCGACAAGAGAAAUCUACGAAAAAACAAACAAAACUUUCAACAACGGAUCUCUUGGUUCUCGCAUCGAUGAAGAGCGCAGCGAAAUGCGAUACCUAGUGUGAAUUGCAGCCAUCGUGAAUCAUCGAGUUCUUGAACGCACAUUGCGCCCCUCGGCAUUCCGGGGGGCAUGCCUGUUUGAGCGUCGUUUCCAUCUUGCGCGUGCGCAGAGUUGGGGGAGCGGAGCGGACGACGUGUAAAGAGCGUCGGAGCUGCGACUCGCCUGAAAGGGAGCGAAGCUGGCCGAGCGAACUAGACUUUUUUUCAGGGACGCUUGGCGGCCGAGAGCGAGUGUUGCGAGACAACAAAAAGCUCGACCUCAAAUCAGGUAGGAAUACCCGCUGAACUUAAGCAUAUCAAUA
Molecule: ribosomal RNA, 451 nt
Filed under: Pichia kudriavzevii
Lineage: Eukaryota; Fungi; Ascomycota; Pichiomycetes; Pichiales; Pichiaceae
Description: eukaryotic LSU rRNA
Rfam family: 5.8S ribosomal RNA (bases 85-237)
Source: RNAcentral